Nerophis ophidion (straightnose pipefish) is the source of this 891-nucleotide long non-coding RNA. RefSeq lists it as uncharacterized. The record is from RefSeq and is a predicted model, not a curated record. The transcript is spliced from 5 exons. Lineage: Eukaryota; Metazoa; Chordata; Actinopteri; Syngnathiformes; Syngnathidae.
GCAUCAGCAUCAGCAUCAGCAGAGCAGCAUCAGAGGAGGAGCGGAGCAUCACAAAGUUUGAGGCUGCAGCAGACCAACCUCGCCGGGGAUCAGAUGAUGUGGCCCCCUGCUGUCAGGGAGAGUGACACAAACAACCAGAGGAGACCACACAGCCAUGUCUGCUGAUCUCAUCCAGUGUGAAGUCUUUGGUGAAAGGCGGCGUCACUCGGGAUGACAGACGUCUGUUGACAUCCCGUCUGCGGAGGACGUGACCUCGGACACAUCGCUCUGGGACGACGACUUCACACGUCCGGCCGACUCCUCUCCGACUUCUUAAGUCCGUCCCGGAGGGUAAUGGCGGCGUCACUCGGGAUGACAGACGUCUGUUGACAUCACGUCUGCGGAGGACGUGACCUCGGACACAUCGCUCUGGGACGACGACUUCACACGUCCGGCCGACUCCUCUCCGACUUCUUAAGUCCGUCCCGGAGGGUAAUGGCGGCGGCUGCAACUCGUCCGUCACUCGGGAUGACAGACGUUUGUUGACAUCACGUCUGCGGAGGACGUGACCUCGGAAACAUCGCUCUGGGACGACAACUUCACACGUCCGGCCGACUCCUCUCCGACUCCUUAAGUCCGUCCCGGAGGGUAAUGGUGAGAAGAACUCCUGAGGACACGUCACGCCUCUGACCCACAUAUCGGUCUUUACUCGCUGAGGCAGAGAGCUUUGGACCGGUCGUUUUCUUUGCUCCAUGGUCCAUCCCAGAACUGUUUUUUUUGGAUCAGUCACUUCCUGCCUGAUUAAUGCUCUAAAAAUAGCAUCGCCUGAGGGUGGUGGGCUUUUAAUUUCCCUGAAAAUAGCUCUGAGUGAUAUCAAAGCGUGCGCCUCAGAUACCUGUCCUACAUUUCCCA